This 1377-nucleotide small RNA is filed under the name Pan troglodytes (chimpanzee). RNAcentral's name for it is "retained intron". The record is from RNAcentral. Lineage: Eukaryota; Metazoa; Chordata; Mammalia; Primates; Hominidae.
GAGACAGACAUGACAGCCCUCCUCAAAUAUUUAAAGGGCUGUCUCAUAAAAGAGAAAUAAAACAUACUCAAUGAGCUCCAGGUGACAGAACUGAGCUCAGAGACCAGAAAUCACAAGGAGACAGAUCUCCGCUGAAUAUAAAGACGAGUUCUAUAAUAAUUGGAACCUUCCAGAGAAGGCAUGGACUUUGUGCUUUAAAAGAAUCGACAGAAUAAUUAGAGAAUAGACUUUACCCUGUCCUUGAAGGUGGGGGAUAAGGGGGCUGGGUAAAUAUGUAUUCCUGAAUCUCUGUUAUUUUGCUACUUGUUUUUUUGUCUAGGAAUUAGAAUUAAAAGAGCAAAAAGAGGACGUUUUAAAUAAUAAAUUAAGUGACGCACUGGCCAUGGUUGAAGAGACUCAGAAAACAAAGGCAACUGAAAGUCUAAAAGCAGAGAGCCUCGCCUUGAAAUUAAAUGAAACAUUAGCCGAACUGGAAACUACCAAGACAAAAAUGAUCAUGGUGGAAGAGCGGCUAAUCCUGCAGCAGAAGAUGGUAAAGGCCCUCCAGGAUGAGCAGGAAUCACAGAGACACGGGUUUGAAGAAGAGAUCUUGGAAUAUAAGGAGCAAAUCAAACAGCACGCCCAGACAAUUGUGAGCCUCGAAGAGAAACUCCAGAGAGUCACUCAGCACCAUAAAAAAAUAGAAGGCGAGAUUGCAACAUUGAAGGACAACGACCCAGCCCAAAAGGAGGAAAGGCCGCAAGACCCUCUGGUGGCUCCCAUGACAGAGAACAGUGCCAAAGACAUGGCGUACGAACAUCUGAUUGAGUCUACAAAGAAGUCUAUCCUCAAAGAACUGACAGUUUUCAGAGAAACAAACGUAUGAAUGGGAAAGAUCCAGAAAGCAGCACGUAAAGAAGGAGGCGCCGAUGGGACGCAGCGGAGGGAUUCAGAAGCUCCCCCAAGAGGAGAACCACCUGCCUGACCCUUGCACCAAAUCCUAGUGACCGAAGUCUAAUGUCACAGGGUUUUUACCCCAAAAAGACAAGGAUACUCAGCUUCCGCAUUGUGAAAAGUUCCUGACUCCUCCUCCUGUUUAAAAUCUAGAAACAGUGGUGCCCAUGACUUGGAAAAGACUCAGCACCACCCAGCUCUGCUCUGGUCCACUUCCUUGGCGUGUGAACAUGCUUGAAUUCUAAGGUUUUAUCCUCAAGUUGGAAGAUUUGUGGUUGCAGCCAAAAACACACUCACGUGGACACACACGCAUGCAUGCACACACAGAAUAUACUAUAUAUAUGUAGUUAUUUUCAUUCUGAUGAUCACCAGUCUUUUUGUUUGUUUGACAUGCAACCUGCCAGUGUUUUACUUUAAUUCAUAAUAAACACAGUACCUUCUAAA